RNAcentral lists this long non-coding RNA (1989 nucleotides) under Rattus norvegicus (Norway rat). Its description in RNAcentral is "long non-coding RNA NONRATT009586". Lineage: Eukaryota; Metazoa; Chordata; Mammalia; Rodentia; Muridae. The record is from RNAcentral.
CCCUCCCCUCCCCCCACACGAACCCAUUCACUGAUUCAAAACAGUCACCUUUUAAAUGACUUUUUUGAGCCUUAACUCCAGAUUAACUUGUGAGAAUCAAGAACAAAUCCCUCAAAUUGCUUUGCAUCCUCUUGGACCAGGGCUUGCAAGGGGAUUUGGGUUUCUAUGAGCCUGCCCAGUUUACCCCGUAAAAUAGGACUUUUUUAGAAUCCCAUCGCCACUUCUAAAAUCCUAGUAACACAUCAGCGAGAUAACUUUUAUUCGUUAUUUUACAAACCAAAUCGGUUUACUCAAUUAAAAACCAGUGUCCUGUGAACAAGUUCCAGUUGGAAAACACUACAGUUGUGGAUAGAACCGUAGCCAUUCCCAGCCCCCUACACUGUUUUACAUUAUUCAGGGGGGGGGGCAUUUUUAAAUACCAUCGAUUCAAAGAGCGGUGGCUUGCUCUUUUUUUUUAGGUGAAUGUUUUUGUUUUGGAGGCUUUUGUUUUUUAGUUUGAGGCUCAAUUCUUUAUUUAUACUUGAAAAACAAACAAACAAGGCCAUAUGUAAAGAAAAAAACCCUUUCAAUGCCUAAGUGUCUUUUCUUCCACCACUCCACACCCACAUUUGCCACUUGGGGUGCACAGAUAAGGGUAGGUCACCAACUGAUUAUGCCUGUCGCCGAGCCAUACAAAAGGCUUCUUAUUCGGGGGGGGGGUAUAUAUAUAUAUAUAAAGGAAUAGCCAACUCUUACUGAAAAAAGACAAGCAAAAGUGGUUACCUAUACCUAGCAUGGUACAAUCUAAAUUUCAUGGGGACUGUAGGGGACAGGCUUGUCACCACUGGCCGUUCUUCCUAUAGUGAUUAACGGUGGAGGGCCGACUCAGUCCCCUUUAAUCCCUAAACCGCCCUCUCCCCCUUAUUUUUCCAGUCUGUCAAUCACUCUGGGAAAAUGCUAGCCAUGCAUACCUUCCUGGCAAUGUUUUCUGCUCGCCUGACAGCCUGCCGUGUUUCUUCAGACGGAUCAUCGGUGUAGAUAGAAUCAGCAUGCUUCUGCGUUCGUUGGGAGGUGUUUUUCUUUGUUGGGAUGACUGGUUGGGGCUGUCGUAGGAAAGGUGCAGGGGGCUGCCAUCUCCGCCAUGUGGAGAGAGGGGUCUCCAUGCUAGGAGACUCUAGACUGCCUCCAGCCAGCCUCCAGUGCUGUGGAGAGACUGUCCCAGCCUGAGGGACUCUCCUUGGGCCCUCUCACCUCUCUACAAAGCACAACACUAAUCUGUUUCCUCAGACCUCUGUUCAAGUGCCCCUAUUUAUUUCGAUAAGAAUGCGCAUCCCUGUCUGUCGCCCUGUGGUGUCGGGCGCAUCCCUGUCCGGCGCCCCGCGGUGUCGCGCGCCGCUCUGCCGUAUCCGGCACCCGCAGUGUCCCGCGCCUUGCAGUGUCGCCUCUGUCCUCGUUUGUGCUUCCCUCUUCCCUUGCUGGUUCCCACCCUCCUAAGAGUUAUGCUAGUGGAUCUUACUCCGUGCAUCAUCGUCUUUUGGUUCGUGAAGGCAGCGGUUAAGGGCACAAAGAUAGCCAUGGGGACAUUUAUGUAAAUACGUUUAAUUGCCACACUGCAGCUGAACGGUGUGUAGUAUUUUCCCAGUCAGCUUUGCCAUACUGACGUCAAUCAUUUGAGAGAAAUUAUUCAGAUUUUAUUUUUAUAUCCGUGGUAACAAAACCUAACCAAAAGGUUUCCUGUUGAGAAGUUUCCCUGACUCUUAUCCCAAGCUAUUCGCUCACAUUAACAAAUUAAAGUGCCUGAAGCAAAAUUCAUUUACCUGUACACUAAAACCCCUGUUGUAUUGAUUUUUUUUUAUAAUAAGCCUUUUUACCUCUGUAAAAAAAUAUAUAUAUACAAGUGUAUGAUGUACAUUUUAGUUCUUAACUUUUUUUAUGGUUUCUAAUAUGUAUGACCAAUGUAGCCAUUGCUUUGAAAUGUACCAUGUAAAUAUAAACACAUCCUAUCAGACC